GACGAACGCUGGCGGCGUGCUUAACACAUGCAAGUCGAACGGAAAGGCCCUGCUUUUGUGGGGUGCUCGAGUGGCGAACGGGUGAGUAACACGUGAGUAACCUGCCCUUGACUUUGGGAUAACUUCAGGAAACUGGGGCUAAUCCCGGAUAGGAGCUCCUGCUGCAUGGUGGGGGUUGGAAAGUUUCGGCGGUUGGGGAUGGACUAGCGGCUUAUCAGCUUGUUGGUGGGGUAGUGGCUUACCAAGGCUUUGACGGGUAGCCGGCCUGAGAGGGUGACCGGCCACGCUGGGCCUGGGAUGCGGCACAGACUCGAACGGUAGGCAGCGGAGGAGAGUAUUGUAUUGUACGCGGAGGCCAGAUGUAGCAACGCCGCGUGCGGGAAGACGUCCAGCGGGUAGUGUUGCACUGCCGCCUUUGACGAGGCGAUAGUGACGGUAAUGGGUGAAGAAGCACCGGCUAACUACGUG
RNAcentral lists this ribosomal RNA (468 nucleotides) under uncultured bacterium. Its description in RNAcentral is "partial 16S ribosomal RNA". It matches the Rfam family "Bacterial small subunit ribosomal RNA", at positions 28 to 507 of the family's 1533-position model. The record is from RNAcentral.